Molecule: ribosomal RNA, 301 nt
Filed under: uncultured bacterium
Lineage: Bacteria
Description: partial 16S ribosomal RNA
Rfam family: Bacterial small subunit ribosomal RNA
Source: RNAcentral
CAGCAGCCGCGGGAAUACGAAGGGGGCUAGCGUUGUUCGGAAUCACUGGGCGUAAAGCGCACGUAGGCGGAUACUUAAGUCAGGGGUGAAAUCCCGGGGCUCAACCUCGGAACUGCCUUUGAUACUGGGUAUCUUGAGUCCGGGAGAGGUUGGUGAAACUCCGAGUGUAGAGGUGAAAUUCGUAGAUAUUCGGAAGAACACCAGUGGCGAAGGCGGCCAACUGGCCCGGUACUGACGCUGAGGUGCGAAAGCGUGGGGAGCAAACAGGAUUAGAUACCCCUGUAGUCCCUGUCUCUUAUAC